GGCCAGAUAAAACGUCAGAUCGCC
This 24-nucleotide non-coding RNA is filed under the name Arabidopsis thaliana (thale cress). The record is from RNAcentral. Lineage: Eukaryota; Viridiplantae; Streptophyta; Magnoliopsida; Brassicales; Brassicaceae.